AUGAAGCUUAAUGCGUCAGCUGGCCCAGAUGGUUUCAAUGUGGAAUUUUAUCUGGCAACAUGGGAUUGGAUUGGGGAUGAUGUCACUGCUUUGGUUAUCAGUUUUUAUAACACAGGUAUCUUACCCCCUCACAUUGGGGGCACUAACAUUGCUCUCAUCCCUAAAAAGCUUGUCCCCCAAGUCCCUACUGAUUGUAGACCUAUUAGUCUUUGUAAUGUUAUCUAUAAGAUCAUUGCUAAAUCUUUGGCCAAUAGACUCAAAGCCCAUCUGCCUGAUUAUAUUAACCCCGUUCAGCAAGCUUUUAUACAAGGUCGUAGAAUUAGCGACAACAUCAUUAUUGCCCAAGAAAUCACUCACUCCUUUGCUCUUAAGUCUUGGAAUCACAAUGCUUUUAUUCUUAAAAUUGAUCUUGCAAAAGCUUUUGAUCGUAUUGAAUGGAAUUUCAUUGUUUCCGCUCUUCAACGUAAAGGAUUGCAUGCUCAUUUCAUUAAUUUAAUUUAUGCAUGCAUCUCCUCGCCUUCGUUCUCAGUCAUUAUCAAUGGUCAACCUACUCAUAGAUUUAAAAGUAAUAGGGGUAUUAGACAAGGAUGUCCUAUGUCCCCCUAUCUUUUUGUGCUUGCCAUUAAUGAACUUUCUCUUACUCUCAAUGAUGCUAUGGCUGCUAACCACCUUCAAGGUAUUUUGCUUGGGCCAAAUUGCCCCGUCCACUCUUUGCUCUUUGCAGAUGACCUUCUGGUUUGUGGCCAAGCUAAUUUGCAAGAAGCUAGGAUGAUUGCUCACAUCAUCCAUCAUUUUUGC
This 798-nucleotide ribosomal RNA is filed under the name Triticum aestivum (bread wheat). RNAcentral's name for it is "partial small subunit ribosomal RNA". The record is from RNAcentral. Lineage: Eukaryota; Viridiplantae; Streptophyta; Magnoliopsida; Poales; Poaceae.